Molecule: long non-coding RNA, 530 nt
Organism: Aedes albopictus (Asian tiger mosquito)
Lineage: Eukaryota; Metazoa; Arthropoda; Insecta; Diptera; Culicidae
Exons: 2
Source: RefSeq, a predicted model, not a curated record
CAAAACAAACAACCUUCCCAUCUUGGAAAGUUGCCACAUAUACAACACUGACAAAACUGUAAACAAACGCACAGACACUGACAACCUCCAUGUAGCUCACGCAGGACUACUACACCUAUUAAAAAAUGAGAGAAUUUAUAGAAUGAGAUAAUCAAAACAAACUAGAUUAUAAGAGAGACUUACUUCGGUCAAACCCACACUUAAUCAGAUAGACGAAACACACACACACUAAAAAAAGACGAAAUUAAUAUUGUAUAACACACGAAAAAGAAAGAGCAUACGAACAGUAAUGGUGGAAGAUCGCGAAGAUAGAACCCGAAUUUCAGACCGCUGGAGAAAAAACAGUUUGUCCACAUCACGAUGGUCCAUACUCGAUCGGACCAAAACUAAACCAAAACGAACGUAUGACUUUUCGAGUUUAGCAAAACUAUUUUUGACCAGAAAACCUUAAAGAUUGGUAAAUGUCUCUUCUAAAUGUUAAAUGUUAAAUGUAUUAUAACUUAUUGUAACUUUGUAUUAAACUUUUAGAA